Mesoplodon densirostris (Blainville's beaked whale) is the source of this 90-nucleotide small nucleolar RNA. RefSeq annotates it as small nucleolar RNA SNORD116. The record is from RefSeq and is a predicted model, not a curated record. The transcript has a single exon. Lineage: Eukaryota; Metazoa; Chordata; Mammalia; Artiodactyla; Ziphiidae.
GACUCAAUGAAAACUCAACAACUGACUUUCAUUUCCAAAUCUGAAGAAAAUGAAGGAUACCAGUGUCACAUCAUUAAGAUACUGAGGGAC